GGAGGGGUGCCAGAGUGGUUGAAUGGGGCGGUCUCGAAAACCGUUGUAGCGUUUAUCGCUACCGUGGGUUCGAAUCCCACCCCCUCCGCCA
RNAcentral lists this transfer RNA (91 nucleotides) under Chloroflexota bacterium. RNAcentral's name for it is "Chloroflexi bacterium (anaerobic digester metagenome) tRNA-Ser". It matches the Rfam family "tRNA". Rfam says of the family: Transfer RNA (tRNA) molecules are approximately 80 nucleotides in length. Lineage: Bacteria; Bacillati; Chloroflexota. The record is from RNAcentral.